CUUCCCUCCCCUAAAAUUCGCACAGAUUCGCUCCAUCCCCAACCUCCCCGGCGCCCUACCGCCUCCUCCCCUCAUCGCCGCCCCUCGCCAGCCGUCCGUCCUGCACGCAGACUCUCGCUGCCGACCCUGUCUAGUCUGCCCACAGACCCUCCGCUCCCUCCCCGCCGUCCUUCACUUCUGCCCCUGCCGCCCCUCUCUCUUGCAGCGGAGCAGAAGCGGAAGCGCCGGGAGAAGAUCAACCGACGAUUCAUUGAGCUAUCCACCGUCAUCCCCGGCCUCAAUAAGAUGGACAAGGCGAUGAUCCUUUCGGACACCAUGAAGUACGCAGUAGCAGGAAAAUCUCAAGGCACUCGAGGACGCAACGUCCAGCUCCAGAGCAUCCAGUCCGCGGUGCUCGUCAGGAAGUUGUGCACAGCUGCGCCGGAAGACGCCGGCGGCUGCUGCCUGUCAUCUUCUGCAGCGGCCGUAGCUGGAAGCACGACGCCGACGACCGGGAAAGUGCUGCUGGAGGCGAGAAGGACAGCUGGAGUCGCCGCCGUCGCUUAUGGAGCUCCACACCAUUGCCCAGUUGUACAAUAGUAUGUGCAAUCUUCUCCAUUCAAGACUAAGUGCAAAUGGUGAACUCUUGCCAAACAAGAAGAUAUGAGGAUCAGGCAUAUAGGCCCCCAUAAGGUAGCUAUAUAGUAAUUCAUGUAUAGUAGUGUGGAUUAUGGUCACAUUUUGUCUAGGACUGCAGAUAGCUAUGUCAAUUAAAAUGGAUAUUCUGCAUAUAUUCUGAAUUUUGAGUAAGGGCUUCAUGUAUAAGGUAUGCAGUAGUUUUGACUUGGGGCACUGAUCAAUUCUUCACAUGCAGGAACAUGGAGAGAUGAAUCUGGUCGAUUGUAGCCACAAG
This is a long non-coding RNA of Aegilops tauschii subsp. strangulata, 892 nucleotides long. RefSeq lists it as uncharacterized. The record is from RefSeq and is a predicted model, not a curated record. NCBI's taxonomy places the organism in Eukaryota, Viridiplantae, Streptophyta, Magnoliopsida, Poales, Poaceae.